RNAcentral lists this ribosomal RNA (1473 nucleotides) under Stenostomum leucops. Its description in RNAcentral is "eukaryotic LSU rRNA". It matches the Rfam family "Eukaryotic large subunit ribosomal RNA", at positions 68 to 1296 of the family's 3401-position model. The record is from RNAcentral. Lineage: Eukaryota; Metazoa; Platyhelminthes; Stenostomidae.
AUGGAGGAUCUGGUAGUAACUGCGAGUGAAGUGGGAUCAGCCCAGCACCAAGGUCAUCGGCCCUGUGGUCGAUUGACGAUGCGGUGUUUGGCAUGCCUAUUGUGCGGUGGACGGAGCGACAAAGUUCCCUUGACAGGGCUCGUGCCCCAUAGCGGGUGUGAGGCCUUUAGUUGCUCGUGAGCUGCCGUAUCUCAGGUAUGUCUAGAGUCGGGUUGUUUGGGAGUACAGCCCAAAGUAGGUGGUAAACUCCAUCUAAGGCUAAAUACGUGCACGAGUCCGAUAGCGAACAAGUACCGUGAGGGAAAGUUGAAAAGUACUUUGAAGAGAGAGUUCAAGAGCACGUGAAACUGCCUAGAGGUAAGCGAAUAGGGCCACAUGAGCAUAGGGGUCGGAUUCAGUUACGCCUGCUUGGCAUGCGUCGGUGCGCGCAUACUGCCGUGCUCAGACUCGGCCGACUGUAGCGCUGGCCUUGCGGAGUCGUGGCCUUGCACAGUCGGCUAACGUAUGGUACGGCCAACCAAUGGGAGCCGCGAUCAAUUGGUCGAGGUGCCAAGUGCGCGAGGAGGUAGCCACGGGUGCUCCUUGUGGGCGCUGCUAACGUUGGCGAUGACUUGUGCAUUGGACCAACUUCGGUCGAUUGUGGAGCGACUGCCGUGCACGCAUCACUCGAGGGUGCUUGCUGCUCCGUUGCGCUUGGUCUCGCUGUGCUGGACUGCAAAGCAGUGCUGUGUGACGAGGCUGGGUUGCGUGCGGGGUGUGUUAGCGAACGCGAGGUGCACGGCUGGUCAGCGGCUUGUUGGUCGCCUAUCCGUCCCGUCUUGAAACACGGACCAAGGAGUUGAACAUGUAGGCGAGUCAUUUGGUGCUUAAACCAAAAGGCGCAGUGAAAGCGAAAUUAGCCAAGAUCCGCUGGUCUCGGCCGGUGGCGCAUUGGCGACUCGUCACAUUGCCGUGUGCAGGUGGCGAAGUUGGAGCCUACACGUUCAGACCCGAAAGAUGGUGAACUAUGCUCGAGCAGGACGAAGCCAGAGGAAACUCUGGUGGAGGUCCGCAGCGAUUCUGACGUGCAAAUCGAUCGUCUGACUUGAGUAUAGGGGCGAAAGACUAAUCGAACCAUCUAGUAGCUGGUUCCCUCCGAAGUUUCCCUCAGGAUAGCUGGUACUCGAGGGCAGUUGUACUUCGAUAAAGCGAAUGAUUAGAGUGUUCUGGGUCGAAACGAUCUAAACCUAUUCUCAAACUUUAAAUGGGUACGAUAUCGAGCUCACUUGAUUGGAGCUCGAGUGCGAAUGUGUGUAGUGCCAAGUGGGCCACUUUUGGUAAGCAGAACUGGCGCUGUGGGAUGAACCAAACGUCUGGUUAAGGUGCCGAACACGGACGCUCAUGAGAAACCAUAAAAGGUGUUGGUUGAUAUAGACAGCAGGACGGUGGCCAUGAAGUCGGAAUCUUUAUGGAGUGGAGACUACGCGUCACUGG